CCUACGGGGGGCUGCAGUGGGGAAUAUUGGACAAUGGGGGCAACCCUGAUCCAGCCAUGCCGCGUGUGUGAAGAAGGCCCUCGGGUUGUAAAGCACUUUCAGUGAGGAAGAACGCCUGGUGGUUAAUACCCAUCAGGAAAGACAUCACUCACAGAAGAAGCACCGGCUAACUCCGUGCCAGCAGCCGCGGUAAUACGGAGGGUGCGAGCGUUAAUCGGAAUUACUGGGCGUAAAGCGCGCGUAGGUGGCUUGAUAAGCCGGUUGUGAAAGCCCCGGGCUCAACCUGGGAACGGCAUCCGGAACUGUCGAGCUAGAGUGCAGGAGAGGAAGGUAGAAUUCCCGGUGUAGCGGUGAAAUGCGUAGAGAUCGGGAGGAAUACCAGUGGCGAAGGCGGCCUUCUGGACUGACACUGACACUGAGGUGCGAAAGCGUGGGUAGCAAACAGGAUUAGAUACCCGUGUAGUC
This 465-nucleotide ribosomal RNA is filed under the name Vreelandella stevensii. RNAcentral describes it as "partial 16S ribosomal RNA". It matches the Rfam family "Bacterial small subunit ribosomal RNA", at positions 338 to 795 of the family's 1533-position model. The record is from RNAcentral. Lineage: Bacteria; Pseudomonadati; Pseudomonadota; Gammaproteobacteria; Oceanospirillales; Halomonadaceae.